This 1236-nucleotide ribosomal RNA is filed under the name metagenome. RNAcentral's name for it is "bacterial SSU rRNA". It matches the Rfam family "Bacterial small subunit ribosomal RNA", at positions 277 to 1520 of the family's 1533-position model. The record is from RNAcentral.
UGACGGGUAGCCGGCCUGAGAGGGCGACCGGCCACAUUGGGACUGAGAUACGGCCCAGACUCCUACGGGAGGCAGCAGUGGGGAAUAUCCACAAUGGGCGCAAGCCUGAUGCAGCGACGCCGCGUGCGGGAUGACGGCCUUCGGGUUGUAAACCGCUUUUGACUGGGAGCAAGCCCUUCGGGGUGAGUGUACCUUUCGAAUAAGCACCGGCUAACUACGUGCCAGCAGCCGCGGUAAUACGUAGGGUGCAAGCGUUAUCCGGAAUUAUUGGGCGUAAAGGGCUCGUAGGCGGUUCGUCGCGUCCGGUGUGAAAGUCCAUCGCUUAACGGUGGAUCCGCGCCGGGUACGGGCGGGCUUGAGUGCGGUAGGGGAGACUGGAAUUCCCGGUGUAACGGUGGAAUGUGUAGAUAUCGGGAAGAACACCAAUGGCGAAGGCAGGUCUCUGGGCCGUCACUGACGCUGAGGAGCGAAAGCGUGGGGAGCGAACAGGAUUAGAUACCCUGGUAGUCCACGCCGUAAACGGUGGAUGCUGGAUGUGGGGACCAUUCCACGGUCUCCGUGUCGGAGCCAACGCGUUAAGCAUCCCGCCUGGGGAGUACGGCCGCAAGGCUAAAACUCAAAGAAAUUGACGGGGGCCCGCACAAGCGGCGGAGCAUGCGGAUUAAUUCGAUGCAACGCGAAGAACCUUACCUGGGCUUGACAUGUUCCCGACAGCCCCAGAGAUGGGGCCUCCCUUCGGGGCGGGUUCACAGGUGGUGCAUGGUCGUCGUCAGCUCGUGUCGUGAGAUGUUGGGUUAAGUCCCGCAACGAGCGCAACCCUCGCCCUGUGUUGCCAGCACGUCGUGGUGGGAACUCACGGGGGACCGCCGGGGUCAACUCGGAGGAAGGUGGGGAUGACGUCAGAUCAUCAUGCCCCUUACGUCCAGGGCUUCACGCAUGCUACAAUGGCCGGUACAACGGGAUGCGACCUCGCGAGGGGGAGCGGAUCCCUUAAAACCGGUCUCAGUUCGGAUUGGAGUCUGCAACCCGACUCCAUGAAGGCGGAGUCGCUAGUAAUCGCGGAUCAGCAACGCCGCGGUGAAUGCGUUCCCGGGCCUUGUACACACCGCCCGUCAAGUCAUGAAAGUGGGUAGCACCCGAAGCCGGUGGCCCAACCUUUUGGGGGGAGCCGUCUAAGGUGAGACUCGUGAUUGGGACUAAGUCGAAACAAGGUAGCCGUACCGGAAGGUGCGGCUG